Molecule: long non-coding RNA, 446 nt
Organism: Gossypium arboreum
Lineage: Eukaryota; Viridiplantae; Streptophyta; Magnoliopsida; Malvales; Malvaceae
Exons: 3
Source: RefSeq, a predicted model, not a curated record
AAAAAUAAAGCCAGUUUAGUGUUCAUAUUGUUCUUGCCGAAUACAAACGAAAAGAAAAAGAAAAUAAACGGGUUUUAGGGUUCGGCUAUUCUCCAACUUGAUUCAAGAUCAAGAAAAGAGAAAAUUAGAUUUGGAUCGGGGAAAACUAAAGUUGUCGACUAGUCAUCCCGUUCCGUUUUUCAUCGUCCGAGAUUUUGGAUCAAGUUACAAGCUCGGGGAUCGUCAGCAAAGUCUAUCAGACUAUCGACUGUCUUCAGUAUCUUUAUAUGUGAACUUUCAGAUCUUUGGCAUGUAUAGGAAGGAUUAUGUUUUGAAAUGUCGGAUUUUGGUUAUGUACAAUCUAAGCCAUGCGAAAAUGGCUUAACCUUUAAUGUUUGAAUUCGGUUAUGUUGAGUAUGGUUUAUGUUCAUAUUGGUUAUGUAGUUACAUGCCAUGAAUGUUUAGUA